ACCCAGGAAACAAUGAAUAUGAAUAAUACAGAGGAACUUGGGAAGACUAAGUAGAACUAAUGCAGAAUUAAAAAAGCAGAACCAAGAAAAUAAUAUAAUGACUCUGCCAACGUACACAGAAUAAGAAAAUUAAACUGAAGUUGUCUCAUUGUGAAGGCCAGGUUUGGCCCCAGGGAAGAGUUGAGAAAAUGCAUUCCUUUCAUAUAAAGCACCAGCAUAGUGUCUAGCUCAUGGGAAAAGAGUCAGACUGGGUCCAUGAUUGAUUUCAGUGUUCAGGAGAAACAACUCUCUCGGCUAAGGUAUAUAAGAGACCCUUGGGAAAAAACAUAUUUACUGGUGGUACCUGGAUGAAGAUUCAGAAAAAGAUCUCUGAGGAGAUUUCAUAUGGAUUGGAGGAAAACCAGGAAAGAGUG
This 413-nucleotide long non-coding RNA is filed under the name Monodelphis domestica (gray short-tailed opossum). Its description in RNAcentral is "lncRNA (ENSMODG00000038078.1)". Lineage: Eukaryota; Metazoa; Chordata; Mammalia; Didelphimorphia; Didelphidae. The record is from RNAcentral.